UACGUAGGGUGCAAGCGUUGUCCGGAAUUACUGGGCGUAAAGAGUUCGUAGGCGGUUUGUCGCGUCGUUUGUGAAAACCAGCAGCUCAACUGCUGGCUUGCAGGCGAUACGGGCAGACUUGAGUACUGCAGGGGAGACUGGAAUUCCUGGUGUAGCGGUGAAAUGCGCAGAUAUCAGGAGGAACACCGGUGGCGAAGGCGGGUCUCUGGGCAGUAACUGACGCUGAGGAACGAAAGCGUGGGCAGCGAACAGGAUUAGAUACCCUGGUAGUCCACGCCGUAAACGGUGGGCGCUAGGUGUGGGUUCCUUCCACGGAAUCCGUGCCGUAGCUAACGCAUUAAGCGCCCCGCCUGGGGAGUACGGCCGCAAGGCUAAAACUCAAAGGAAUUGACGGGGGCCCGCACAAGCGGCGGAGCAUGUGGAUUAAUUCGAUGCAACGCGAAGAACCUUACCUGGGUUUGACAUAUACCGGAAAGCUGCAGAGAUGUGGCCCCCCUUGUGGUCGGUAUACAGGUGGUGCAUGGCUGUCGUCGGCUCGUGUCGUGAGAUGUUGGGUUAAGUCCCGCAACGAGCGCAACCCCUAUCUUAUGUUGCCAGCACGUUAUGGUGGGGACUCGUAAGAGACUGCCGGGGUCAACUCGGAGGAAGGUGGGGACGACGUCAAGUCAUCAUGCCCCUUAUGUCCAGGGCUUCACACAUGCUACAAUGGCCAGUACAGAGGGCUGCGAGACCGUGAGGUGGAGCGAAUCCCUUAAAGCUGGUCUCAGUUCGGAUCGGGGUCUGCAACUCGACCCCGUGAAGUCGGAGUCGCUAGUAAUCGCAGAUCAGCAACGCUGCGGUGAAUACGUUCCCGGGCCU
This 858-nucleotide ribosomal RNA is filed under the name uncultured bacterium. RNAcentral describes it as "bacterial SSU rRNA". It matches the Rfam family "Bacterial small subunit ribosomal RNA", at positions 524 to 1381 of the family's 1533-position model. The record is from RNAcentral.